This 691-nucleotide ribosomal RNA is filed under the name uncultured bacterium. Its description in RNAcentral is "bacterial SSU rRNA". It matches the Rfam family "Bacterial small subunit ribosomal RNA", at positions 32 to 715 of the family's 1533-position model. The record is from RNAcentral.
AACGCUAGCUACAGGCUUAACACAUGCAAGUCGAGGGGCAGCAUAAAAGUAGCAAUACUUUGGUGGCGACCGGCGCACGGGUGAGUAACGCGUAUGCAACCUACCUAUCAGGGGGGAAUAACCCGGCGAAAGUCGGACUAAUACCGCAUAAAACAGGGACACCGCAUGGUGAUAUUUGUUAAAGAAAUUCGCUGAUAGAUGGGCAUGCGUUCCAUUAGGUAGUUGGUGAGGUAACGGCUCACCAAGCCGACGAUGGAUAGGGGAACUGAGAGGUUGGUCCCCCACACUGGUACUAAGACACGGACCAGACUCCUACGGGAGGCAGCAGUGAGGAAUAUUGGUCAAUGGGCGAGAGCCUGAACCAGCCAAGUCGCGUGAAGGAAGAAGGAUCUAUGGUUCGUAAACUUCUUUUGCAGGGGAAUAAAGUGCAGGACGUGUCCUGUUUUGUAUGUACCCUGAGAAUAAGGAUCGGCUAACUCCGUGCCAGCAGCCGCGGUAAUACGGAGGAUCCGAGCGUUAUCCGGAUUUAUUGGGUUUAAAGGGUGCGUAGGUGGUUUGAUAAGUCAGCGGUGAAAGUUUGCAGCUUAACUGUAAAAAUGCCGUUGAAACUGUCGGACUUGAGUGUAAAUGAGGUAGGCGGAAUGCGUGGUGUAGCGGUGAAAUGCUUAGAUAUCACGAAGAACUCCGAUUG